Trifolium pratense (red clover) is the source of this 1040-nucleotide RNA transcript. RefSeq lists it as uncharacterized. The transcript is spliced from 3 exons. NCBI's taxonomy places the organism in Eukaryota, Viridiplantae, Streptophyta, Magnoliopsida, Fabales, Fabaceae. The record is from RefSeq and is a predicted model, not a curated record.
CUUCUGUUGCAUCCAAGGGUAAGUGUUACACCCUCAUUUUAUUUGUUUUUUGUUUUGUAUUUUGAAGAAAUAUCUUUUAGUAUAUGAUUCUGUUUUAUUUUAAAAAAAUUAUUUCUUUUUAGACAGAUUGAGUAAAAUAAUUUUUUCUCUCCAUUUUGAUAAUAUAUUGAGUUUUUGUUUUUUAAUUCAACAAUAAAUCAAACUAUAUAUUUAUUUUUCUAAGCAAAAAUAUUUUUUUUCUUUUUGUACAGAGAUUGCAUGCAAACCUUUUUACCUUCAAAUUAGUAUUUAAUUAGGUAGUGGUGUUUUAAUUGGCGAUUCAUGAUCUAACAACUGAUUUUUUGGAAUAGGGUUUAAUAAUUUGAACUUUUUGGUUAUAUUACCCUCAUUGAAUUUUAACUGGUAAUAUAUGUCUCCUAUCCAAUGUUAUACUUCAUUGAGUAAAUGUAGUCUUGUUAGUUAGAUUGAUUGUCCAUGUUAUCAAGAUUUUAACAGAUAAGGAAAACAGAAUGAAUGGGAAAAGAGAACCAUUAAGUGAGUUUUUUUGUAAAUGUUUUAUUCUAUUUAAUCUCAUUUGUGCUAUGUUUUAAUUAUUGUUUUCUUUUGUGGAUUUUCAUUGUUGUUCCAUGAGUUUCUGGUGGAUACCCAUUAUGUGAAAAAAAGAUGCAAAUAAAAUGGAGGGAUGGAAGUUUAGCAGAAGACACACUCUGAAGGACAAAAUAGCCAAGAUGCUCAUGAUGCAAAAUAAUUUGAACCAUGCCUUUGAAUAUGAAGGACUUCAAAGUGGCAAAGAAUCAGGUUCAAGAAAUGAAUGCAAAGAGAAUGAGAAUGAGGAAAUGAAGAUUAAUCACUGAGUUCUUUGCCUAGUGGUGAAGGAAAGAAGGCAAGAGAAUGAGGGAAUUUGAAAGGAAUAUGAAGGGCAAUUUAUAUUGUUUAAAUUUUGUACAAAUAAGACCAAAUUGUCCUUCUACUUGCUCUCCAAGUUUUGUAUUAAUAUAAUUUAUUAUUAUUUUUAAGCAAUACACUGAAUCUGGACCAUA